Molecule: small RNA, 336 nt
Filed under: Pongo abelii (Sumatran orangutan)
Lineage: Eukaryota; Metazoa; Chordata; Mammalia; Primates; Hominidae
Description: retained intron
Source: RNAcentral
AGCCUGGCAUGCACCUUCGGUGAUAUGUGCUGCUGGUGGGUGGGGCCCUGGCACGCAAUCGUCCGCAUCUUCCACCCCACCUACAUCAAGCCUGUGCUCUUUGCUCCAGCCGCCGUUGCACCAAAGGACAAGGUCUUCUACAGCUUUCUGGAGCCCUGGCUGGGUGAGUAUCUGCAGGUGAACAGGGUUGGGAACAACCUGGGGGGCCGGGGAGAGAGAUGCCCUUGAGCAUGGCCCUUGGCUGCCCUGCCAGGGGAUGGGCUCCUGCUGAGUGCUGGUGACAAGUGGAGCCGCCACCGUCGGAUGCUGACGCCCGCCUUCCAUUUCAACAUCCUG